GGGUCAAAUAUUGAGAAUUCUCAUGCUGCAACUGCAUAAGCAAGAAUCCAACUUUCAGAAAGUAUAUUUAUUGGUUAGUUUAUGUUGUUUGUUAUUUUGUUGAUGAGGGUUUUAAUUUUAAAUAUUUGUCGUUUGAUCCUAUGUUGUGACAGCUCAUCAAAGGUUACUGAAGUUGUUCGUUCUCGUUGUCUUAAUGUGCAAAUAAGUGCACCAAAGAAGACCAGGUCAGUAUUUGCAGUUUCACUUUUAGUAGGGAUGAAUAACUGAUUGAUUAUACAUAGGAAUAUUAAUAGGGAUUUAUGCCGAACUUUGUUUUCUUUUUCAGAUUGUUAGGGUUCUGGAAUUUAUUGGCAAAAAGGAGUUAAGAUCAGUCUUGCACUUUUUCUUGUGGUUUCUUGUGUCCAGCAGUUAUGAUCAGUUAAGACCUUCUCAGUGGUCCAUAAUGGUCUAUAAAAAUGUUCAAAGAUCAAAUCGCAAAAGAGAAAUUUCUGAAGACUAAUAUGCAAACAUGGUAUUUUCUUUCACCAACAUGUUUUUUAUAUAUUUUUUGGUCGGAAUCGAAAUUCAAUUCCAUUCUAGUCUUGUAUUUAGUUUAGCUUCAAAUGAGUAGACAAUAAUGUCCUUCAUCAACAGAAAAUCAUGUUUCCAACAAAUACCAUGUCUUAUUCCCUUGCAGGAAAAAGUAAGUAGAACUUGGUUCGCUUAAUUCCAUGGGGUUUAACGGGAAUCGGAAUCCAAUUCCAUUAUGGUCCAUUCGGAUGCAAUGCAAGAUAUGAAGCAAUGGGAAUAUGUAUGUGGAAACUCAAAAUAUGAGACAAAAUUGAGAUUAUGGUACAUUAUACUUCGAAAUAAAAAUCAAUAAAUAUUAAACUUUGAUAUUUGAUGAUUUUGAUCAUUUUGGUAAACAUUGAUAUUUGAUGUUUUUGGAUGUUUUGUUAAAUUUUGAUAUUUGAUUUUAGUAUUUUAAUGUUAGUGUUUGGUUUUGGAU
RNAcentral lists this long non-coding RNA (988 nucleotides) under Lactuca sativa (garden lettuce). RNAcentral describes it as "long non-coding RNA (LSAT_LNC004023)". Lineage: Eukaryota; Viridiplantae; Streptophyta; Magnoliopsida; Asterales; Asteraceae. The record is from RNAcentral.